Molecule: long non-coding RNA, 945 nt
Filed under: Brassica napus (rape)
Lineage: Eukaryota; Viridiplantae; Streptophyta; Magnoliopsida; Brassicales; Brassicaceae
Description: long non-coding RNA (BNAP_LNC010479)
Source: RNAcentral
UUAAUGCCUAGUUGCAUCAUGCACUAAAAUAUGAUGAUGUUCAAAGAGGUUUGGAGCCUUAGUUGUCUCUAUAUUUCAAGAAAAUAGUGAUUUUAUAGUAGUUAUUCCAUCGAUUUAGGGAGUAUUAUGAAGUUUUACAAAAUUAAUUGAUAAAAACAAUUCAACGAUGUUCAUUUACCAUGAAAAAGAGUUUAACAUACAUUAAUACAAUUGUAAAAUAUGUUUAGAACUUUUAAAACAACACUAAAGAUUAUAGGCUUUAGUAUAUAAAGUAUUUACCAAAAUUUGCAUAUUUUCGUAGGGGUACACAUUGAUUUUGAGAAAAUUUCAAAAAAUACGAAAAUAUUUUUUUAAUGCCUUUUUGCAUCCUUUACUAACAUAUGAUGAUGUUCAAAUAGGUUUGGAGUCUUUGUUGUCUCCGUUUUUCAAGAAAAUAAGGAUUUUAUAGUGGUUUUCCCAACGAUUUAGGGAGUAUUACGAAGUUUUAAUAAAUUAAUUGAUAAACAAAAUUAUAACGAUUCCCAUAUACCAUGAAAAUGAGCUUAAUAUACAUUAACACAAAUGUAGAAUGUGGUUAUAAAAUUUAAAACAACACUAAAGAUUAUAGGCUUCAGUAUAUAAAGUAUUUACCAAACACCCAAUAUUUCCGUAGGGGUUAGCACGUAGAUUUUGAAAAAAUUUCAAAAAAUAUGAAAAUAUUGUUUUAAUGUUCAAAGAGGUUUGGAGCUUUAGUUGUCUCUAUUUUUCAAGAAAAUAGUGAUUUGAUAGUGGUUAUUCCAUCGAUUUAGGGAGUAUUAUAAAGUUUUACUAAAUUAAUUGAUAAAAAUAAUUGAACGAUGCUCAUUUCCCAUGAAAAAGAGUUUAACAUACAUUAAUACAAAUGUAAAAUAUGGUUUGAAAUUUUAAAACAACACUAAAGAUUAUAGGCUUCAGUAUAUAAAGUAU